GUGCAUACUUUGGCAGCACAUAUACAAAAAUCGGAGCAAAAUAGAGAAGAUUAGCAUAUCCCAUGAACAAGGAUCACACACACAGACACACACACACACACACAAAUU
This is a small nuclear RNA of Perognathus longimembris pacificus (Pacific pocket mouse), 108 nucleotides long. The record is from RefSeq and is a predicted model, not a curated record. NCBI's taxonomy places the organism in Eukaryota, Metazoa, Chordata, Mammalia, Rodentia, Heteromyidae.